AGAGUUUGAUCCUGGCUCAGGAUGAACGCUGGCGGCGUGCCUUAAGCAUGCAAGUCAAGGGGACCUAGCAAUAGGUAAACCGGCGGACGGGUGAGUAAUGCAUGGGAAUCUACCUAAAAGUGGGGGAUAGCUCUCCGAAAGGAGGGGUAAUACCGCAUGUGAUCGCAAGAUCAAAGCCGCAAGGCGCUUUUAGAUGAGCCUGUGUCCUAUCAGCUUGUUGGUGGGGUAAUGGCCUACCAAGGCAACGACGGGUAGCUGGUCUGAGAGGAUGGACAGCCACAAUGGCACUGAGACACGGGCCAUACACCUACGGGUGGCGGCAACUGGGAAUAUUCGGCAAUGGGCGAAAGCCUGACCGAGCGACGCCGCGUGGAGGAUUGAAGGCCUUCGGGUCGUAAACUCCUUUUACUAGGGAAGAUUAUGACGGUACCUAGCGAAUAAGCACCUGCUAAUCACGUGCCAGAAGCCUCGGUAAGACGUGAGGUGCAAGCGUUAUCCGGAUUCAUUGGGCGUAAAGUGUUGCGUAGGCUGAUUUGCGCAUUUUGCUUAAAAUGCUAUGGCUUAACCAUAGUUUUGGGCAAAAUAUGGCAAAUCUUGAAGGAUGGAGAGGGUACUGGAACUUAACAUGUAGCAGUGAAAUGCGUUGAUAUGUUAAGGAACACCAAAGGCGUAGGCAGGUACCUGGUCAUCUCUUGACGCUGAGGCACGAAAGCUUGGGGAGCGAAGCAGAUUAGAGACCUGCGUAGUCCAAGCCGUAAACGAUGGAUGCUAGAUACCCGAAGCUUGCUUUGGGUGUCGUAAGGUAACCCGUUAAGCAUCCCGCCUGGGGAGUACGAACGCAAGUUUAAAACUCAAAGGAAUUGACGGGGAGGCGCACAAGCAGUGGAGCAUGUGGUUUAAUUCGAGACAAAGCGAAAAACCUCACCAGGAUUUGACAUUGAUCUGCAAGCGCACGGAAACGUGUGACCUUAGAGGGUGAUCAACAGAUGCUGCAUGGCUGUCGUAAGUUCGUGGCGUGAGCUGUACCCUUAAGUGGGACAACGAACGAAACCCGCACCGUAUGUUAAAUAUUCAUGCGGAACAGCCCUAUUUUUAGGGAGGAAGGGGCGGAUGACGUCAAGUCCGCACGGCUCUUACAUCCUGGGCUACACACAUCCUACAAUGGCGAAUAACAACGAGUUGCAAACUGGUAACAGUAAGCUAACCUCUAAAAUUUCGCCUCAGUUCAGAUUGGGGUCUGCAAUUCGACCCCAUGAAGUCGGAAUUGCUAGUAAUCGCGAAUCAGAAGGUCGCGGUGAAUACGUUCUCGCCUCUUGUACACACCGCCCGUCAAGGCAGCAAAGUUGGGGGUACCCGAAUAGCCCUACAGGGUUAGAAGGUAAAACCAGCGAUGAAGCUUAAGUCGUAACAAGGUA
Molecule: ribosomal RNA, 1415 nt
Filed under: metagenome
Description: bacterial SSU rRNA
Rfam family: Bacterial small subunit ribosomal RNA
Source: RNAcentral